GUGGCAUGGGUUCUAAAGAAGAAAAGAGAUAGAGGAUCUCUUCUUCUUCCUCUCCCUCCUCUUGUUCUCCAUCAUCUCUGAGAGGAUCUAAGAGAAAACAAUGGAAAAGAUUUUUAUCAACCAUCAGGAGAUAACUUCUAUAAGGAAGCUAGCACCCCAGUGAAGUCAGGAGCCUUUGAUCGAAUUUGAGGACUUUGUGUAGAUACCUAUAAAAGCUG
Molecule: long non-coding RNA, 218 nt
Filed under: Elaeis guineensis (African oil palm)
Lineage: Eukaryota; Viridiplantae; Streptophyta; Magnoliopsida; Arecales; Arecaceae
Description: long non-coding RNA (EGUI_LNC060821)
Source: RNAcentral